This 1246-nucleotide long non-coding RNA is filed under the name Homo sapiens (human). RNAcentral describes it as "HSALNT0329743". The record is from RNAcentral. Lineage: Eukaryota; Metazoa; Chordata; Mammalia; Primates; Hominidae.
CAAAUCAAAAUAACUUAAGCAACAUUUUAAAAGAAUGCAGAGUUUAGGUUAUUGUAUGAAUUUAAAAUAUUCUCACUAAUGUGACAUUUUAAUACAUUUAAAAUACUGUACAUUGCUAAACCUGCUUUAUCUUACUUCUCUUUCCUCUUUUUUUCCGAAUGAAGCUACUGUCAAAUUCUUCAGUUGUUCACUUUUAAAUAGAUCUAAUGUCCUAUUUUUCAGACCACUGAACCUAUAUAAUAUCCAUGAAGCUAGUAUAACUCUGCAGACAUCCUAGCUAUUCAGGCAAUGUUAUAAAGGCAUCAUCAUUGUUCAUUUGUCUGAUCUCUAUGUAUCUUGUCAUCUUUCCAGGGUAAGAUUGCCAAGGUCUUGGACUCUUCAUUUGGUGGAGUCUAAUUCUGUUCUCUUUACAAAGAGCUAGGGUUACACUCAGCAAAGGUUACCAUUUACGUGAGACAUGAAGCCGGCUAGCGUAACGCAUCACCAAAGUAAAACCCCUGGCUAUUUUUUCCCUCAAGGACAUCCCCAGUGCCACAUAAAAUCAAGAAAGAACACUUCAGGAUAGGUCACACGUAGGGCCUGCAUGUACUAUGAACCCACACUUUCAUUUUUAUAUUCUGGAGUGCGCUAUUUUCAGAACAGUCAGACAAAGGGGUAUUUUUCCUUUUGAAAAAUCUCCUUUUCUCUCCCCUAGAGGAAAAUACAUGAGAAUCAAAUGUAAGAGACUACAGUGGCUUUAGCAAGAGAAGCCAAUAUUUAAGGAUCAGGGACAGGAAACAGGAAACUCCUUCUUGGCCUCCCCACCCCAUGGAUUAAAUGGUAGCAGGGGCUGCCUGGUGCCUUGCCCAUGAAGCUUGACUAUUCAUGCUUAGAAGGAGGAGCAUCAUGAACAUUAAGAAACCAGAUGGAGUCUCGCUCUGUCGCCCAGGGUGGAGUGCAGUGGCGCAAUCUCGGCUCACUACAAUCUCCGCCUCCUGGGUUCACGCCAUUCUCCUGCCUCAGCCUCCCGAGUAGCUGGGACUACAGGCGCCCGCCACCACGCCCGGCUAAUUUUUUUGUAUUGUUAGUAGAGACGGGGUUUCACUGUGUAAGCCAGGAUGGUCUUGAUCUCCUGACCUCGUGAUCCACCCACCUUGGCCUCCCAAAGUGCUGGGAUUACAGGCGUGAGCACCGCGCCCGGCCAUAAAAGUACUUUUAAGUCCUUUUAAAAGUAAAGUCCUUCUGGGACUUUAAUGGACUGUCUGGU